GGGGCGGAGCGGGGCGGGCGGGCCACCAUUAGAAGGCGGCCGCGGCGGAGAGAGGAGCUCCUGGAGCGAAGCUGUGGCGCGUCACCGGGCCGGACCGGCAGCGCGCUCUGCCGCGAUUCGAGAGGAAAAGUCUAACAGUCUACUGUAAGCGUGUAAAAGCUCAAGACUGCCUUCACUCAGUCUGUGAUUAUAAUUGACUCUGCUUAUUAAAUUAAAAUGUCGUCAUGGGUCAAGGUUACCAGGUGCCAAGUUCAAAAACCUGUUGUCAACAAAAGGUGAUGGCCACACCAGGGAUGAUCGCGGAGAGAAGCAAU
This 314-nucleotide long non-coding RNA is filed under the name Apteryx rowi (Okarito brown kiwi). Its description in RNAcentral is "lncRNA (ENSARWG00000015434.1)". Lineage: Eukaryota; Metazoa; Chordata; Aves; Apterygiformes; Apterygidae. The record is from RNAcentral.